UAAUAUUUCCUUCUUGGUUACAUCUCUGAUCAAGAAGCAUUUAUACUCAGAGCUGAACAAGUAGCCCUGUUUUAUGACUGCCAUAUUAGGGCAAGGAAUUGAGUUUCUUGCAUAGCCCGCGAGGCUCCUAAAUACAGAGGUAAACUCCUUCUCUAUCUCUUUUGAGUCAGUAAGCUUGACACCUCCUUCCGUGCAAACUAAAUGUGUGGAUUUCUUUCUUUAUCUGAUUUUUAGUUGGCCAUGAAAAUAUUUUUUAUUUGAGUCACCACUGGAUAUCCAUGCAUCCCUAGAAUUUUUCCUGAGUACUUGUUCCUUAAUAGAUCCCCACUUGGUAAUCUAAAAAAGUAUCACUCUUUCUAACUCAAUUAAAUAUUGGUCAUGUGGUUAAUUGUUUAACUGAGAUUGCACAACUCCCAAUUUUUCUCUAUCCUACUGGAGCCUUUGAGCAUAAGAGGCAAGGUAUUCAGGUCCUUAAAUUCAUAUUUCAAUGCUUUCAAUCUAGCCCAGAGCUUUUGACCACAAUUGAUGCACAACACCAGAGAAGUCAAGGUGAUUUGUAACUAUAGAGUACAAUUUAAAAGGUUCUUGUUUCGUAUCAACAACAUUAUUAUACUCCAUAAUGAUUGGAGAAUGAUCUAAAAUGGCAGAGUUCAAGAAGUCUACCUCUAUAUAUCCAUAAUUUUGCAACCAAUGAAUGUUACUAAAGGACCAAUCAAUCUUGGAGUAAACUCGAGAGUUUAUGUCCUGCUUAUUAUAAAAGGUGUAGUUCCACCUGAUGUUGCAUUCUAAUAUUAUUAUUUUGCAUGAUUUUGGAGGUUAUGCAUCAUUAUGGUGACAUUACUCUUUCUGUUACAUUAUGAUUAGUGGCUUUAAGUUACACCAACUAUUGUAACUAUCGGUUUAGUGCCACUAUAUGCAGCAGUACAUAACUCCUCAUUCAUUGGUGUUUUUACUCUUUACUAUUGACAUUUUAGGAUGGCCAUUUAAGGCACAAGGACGUGUGCAGCAAUGCUCUUGACUGUUGAAAAGUAGUGGCUGAAUUUAGCCACUAUUUUUCUUGAAAUUCAUGUAACCACUAAUCCAUUAUCUUCCUCUUUAUGUCUAGUAACCUUUGUAACUCUUGUAACCUAUGUAACUCUUGUAACUUCUAUGCCAUUCAUCUACCACAUUUAUCUUCCUAUUCAUUGCAUGAAAGAUUUCUCACCUAUAAAUAGAGGUAGUCUUGCAUGAUAUUGGAAGACACAAGAUAAUAGAGAGUUCACAAAAAAAGUUAGUAAAAAAGAGAGUUUGCUAGUUGAAGGGAGGUGUUCUUUUUGUAGAGCUUUGAACUCAAAUCAUAUCCAGAGUUGUUGAGUUAUUGUGAGAAGGCUGUUGUAUCCUGGAG
Molecule: long non-coding RNA, 1384 nt
Filed under: Capsicum annuum
Lineage: Eukaryota; Viridiplantae; Streptophyta; Magnoliopsida; Solanales; Solanaceae
Description: long non-coding RNA (CANN_LNC002776)
Source: RNAcentral